This 433-nucleotide ribosomal RNA is filed under the name uncultured bacterium. RNAcentral describes it as "partial 16S ribosomal RNA". It matches the Rfam family "Bacterial small subunit ribosomal RNA", at positions 29 to 507 of the family's 1533-position model. The record is from RNAcentral.
AACGAACGCUGGCGGCAUGCCUAACACAUGCAAGUCGAACGAGACCUUCGGGUCUAGUGGCGCACGGGUGCGUAACGCGUGGGAACCUGCCCUUAGGUUCGGAAUAACUCCCCGAAAGGGGUGCUAAUAACGGAUAAUGUCUUCGGACCAAGGAUUUAUCGCCUUUGGUUGGGCCCGCGUUGGAUUAGCUAGUUGGUAGGGUAAAAGCCUACCAAGGCGACGAUCCAUAGCUGGUCAGAGAGGAUGAUCAGCCACACUGGGACUGAGACACGGCCCAGACUCCUACGGGAUGCAGCAGUGGGGAAUAUUAGACAAUGGGCGAAAGCCUGAUCCAGCAAUGCCGCGUGAGUGAUGAAGGCCGUAGGGUUGUAAAGCUCUUUUACCCGGGAUGAUAAUGACAGUACCGGGAGAAUAAGCACCGGCUAACUCCGUG